CAGCCGCCGCGGGAAUACGUAGGGUGCGAGCGUUAAUCGGAAUUACUGGGCGUAAAGCGUGCGCAGGCGGUUUUGUAAGACAGGCGUGAAAUCCCCGGGCUCAACCUGGGAAUGGCGCUUGUGACUGCAAAGCUAGAGUGCGGCAGAGGGGGAUGGAAUUCCGCGUGUAGCGGUGAAAUGCGUAGGUAUGCGGAGGAACACCGAUGGCGAAGGCAAUCCCCUGGGCCUGCACUGACGCUCAUGCACGAAAGCGUGGGGAGCAAACAGGAUUAGAUACCCGAGUAGUCCCUGUCUUUUAUAA
RNAcentral lists this ribosomal RNA (301 nucleotides) under uncultured bacterium. RNAcentral describes it as "partial 16S ribosomal RNA". It matches the Rfam family "Bacterial small subunit ribosomal RNA", at positions 509 to 809 of the family's 1533-position model. The record is from RNAcentral.